CGAAGGUGGCAAGCGUUACUCGGAAUUACUAGGCGUAAAGGGCAGGUAGGCGGUUUGGUUAGUCUGUUGUGAAAGCUCCUUGCUUAACGGGGAGAGGCCAACAGAUACUGCCAGGCUUGAGUAUAGGAGAGGGUACUGGAAUUCCCGGUGUAGCGGUGAAAUGCGCAGAGAUCGGGAGGAACACCAAUGGCGAAAGCAGGUACCUGGACUAUUACUGACGCUCAGCUGCGAAAGCUAGGGGAGCAAACAGGAUUAGAUACCCUGGUAGUCCUAGCCGUAAACGAUGCACAUUAGGCGUGAGGGGUAUCGACCCCCUUCGUGCCGAAGCAAACGCAUUAAAUGUGCCGCCUGGGGAGUACGGCCGCAAGGUUG
Molecule: ribosomal RNA, 372 nt
Filed under: uncultured organism
Description: bacterial SSU rRNA
Rfam family: Bacterial small subunit ribosomal RNA
Source: RNAcentral